AUGAGGAUGAUGAAAUAAAUCAUUCGGAUUCCCAAUGAUUUUCUCUUUAUAAUAGUUUUUAUUUGAAGAGAUAGGUGAUCUUACAACUUCAUUUCUGACUCAUGAUUAUAAUAAUAAUUAAUACUAGUGAGUUUAUAGUUUGAUUGGGUUUUUUUUUUUUUUUUUAAUUGAAACUGAUUUUGGCCAGUGAUGUUAAAAGAUAUUAUAUACUCUUGAUGGGAUUAUAUAUAAUCCUGUUUGAUGUUUUAUUAUCCACCAAGAUCUCUGAGGCC
RNAcentral lists this long non-coding RNA (272 nucleotides) under Helianthus annuus (common sunflower). Its description in RNAcentral is "hypothetical non coding rna". The stretch from base 182 to 272 matches the Rfam family "Small nucleolar RNA SNORD24". The record is from RNAcentral. Lineage: Eukaryota; Viridiplantae; Streptophyta; Magnoliopsida; Asterales; Asteraceae.